RNAcentral lists this ribosomal RNA (482 nucleotides) under uncultured bacterium. RNAcentral's name for it is "bacterial SSU rRNA". It matches the Rfam family "Bacterial small subunit ribosomal RNA", at positions 28 to 507 of the family's 1533-position model. The record is from RNAcentral.
GACGAACGCUGGCGGCGUGCCUAACACAUGCAAGUCGAGCGGAGUCGAUCGACGGAAGCCUUCGGGCGGAAGAUGGUUGACUUAGCGGCGGAUGGGUGAGUAACGCGUGGGCAACCUGCCUCGAAGACCGGGAUAACAGACCGAAAGGGCUGCUAAUACCGGAUGUGGUCAAGGAUCCGCAUGGAUCUUUGAUUAAAGGGGAAACCCGUUUCGAGAUGGGCCCGCGUCCUAUCAGCUAGUUGGUGAGGUAAAAGCUCACCAAGGCGACGACGGGUAGCCGGCCUGAGAGGGUGACCGGCCACACUGGAACUGAGACACGGUCCAGACUCCUACGGGGGGCAGCAGUGGGGAAUCUUCCACAAUGGGCGAAAGCCUGAUGGAGCGACGCCGCGUGAGCGAAGAAGGCCUUCGGUUGUAAAGCUCUGUCUGGAGGGACGAAGGAAGUGACGGUACCUCCGGAGGAAGCCACGGCUAACUACGUG